UCAGUUUCUAGGUUUUGGGUGAAUUGUGGGCCUAGGGUUUUUUAGUCAUCAGAAAACACCAGAGUGCUGAAUUCACCUGUCGUGUUGAAGUCAAAUGCAUACGCAAUAGCUAAGAGUGGUUCAGGCUGACAUGUGGCGGUGGGAAUUGCAUGAAAGGUGUGGGGCGUGAAGACAACGAUAUGUGGUGUGAUGGGUGCGAAAACCCCGUUGUCUUCCCGAGAGCAAGAACUCGAGGUGUUUGACUCAACAGCCGAAGCUGUCGUUGUCUGCUUUGAAGACACCGCCCAACGCUUGACAAAGACCACUGCUCAUAGUAUACUCACAGCAGAGUCUGGCCUAUCACGCGUCUAUAA
This 353-nucleotide long non-coding RNA is filed under the name Helianthus annuus (common sunflower). Its description in RNAcentral is "sRNA HanXRQr2_Chr07g0281411". Lineage: Eukaryota; Viridiplantae; Streptophyta; Magnoliopsida; Asterales; Asteraceae. The record is from RNAcentral.